AUGUAUCACGCCUACACUCCGGUUCCUCCGCGCCGUCCGCACCCACCUGACGACUGCUCGCUACGUUUUGUUAGCC
Molecule: small RNA, 76 nt
Filed under: Xanthomonas fragariae
Lineage: Bacteria; Pseudomonadati; Pseudomonadota; Gammaproteobacteria; Lysobacterales; Lysobacteraceae
Description: sX9 sRNA
Rfam family: Xanthomonas sRNA sX9
Source: RNAcentral